CCUACGGGAGGCAGCAGUGGGGAAUAUUGGGCAAUGGGCGCAAGCCUGACCCAGCGACGCCGCGUGAGGGAUGAAGGCCUUCGGGUUGUAAACCUCUUUCAGUAGGGAAGAAGCGAAAGUGACGGUACCUAAAGAAGAAGCACCGGCUAACUAUGUGCCAGCAGCCGCGGUAAUACAUAGGGUGCAAGCGUUGUCCGGAAUUAUUGGGCGUAAAGAGCUCGUAGGUCGUUUGCCGCGUCGAUUGUGAAAAUCUGAGGCUCAACCUCAGACCUGCAGUCGAUACGGGCAAACUAGAGUGUGGUAGGGGAGACUGGAAUUCCUGGUGUAGCGGUGGAAUGCGCAGAUAUCAGGAGGAACACCAAUGGCGAAGGCAGGUCUCUGGGCCAUAACUGACUCUGAGGAGCGAAAGCGCGGGGAGCGAACAGGAUUAGAUACCCUGGUAGUCCGCGCCGUAAACGGUGGGCACUAGCUGUGAGGACCUUCCACGGUCUUCGCGACGCAGCAAACGCAUUAAGUGCCCCGCCUGGGGAGUACGAUCGCAAGAUUAAAACUCAAAGGAAUUGACGG
Molecule: ribosomal RNA, 567 nt
Filed under: uncultured Actinomycetes bacterium
Lineage: Bacteria; Bacillati; Actinomycetota; Actinomycetes
Description: bacterial SSU rRNA
Rfam family: Bacterial small subunit ribosomal RNA
Source: RNAcentral